This 70-nucleotide transfer RNA is filed under the name Lingula anatina. It matches the Rfam family "tRNA". From Rfam's summary of the family: Transfer RNA (tRNA) molecules are approximately 80 nucleotides in length. Their secondary structure includes four short double-helical elements and three loops (D, anti-codon, and T loops). The record is from Rfam by way of RNAcentral. Lineage: Eukaryota; Metazoa; Brachiopoda; Lingulata; Lingulida; Lingulidae.
GGUUCUAUGGUGUAAUGGUUCACUCUGGACUUUGAAUCCAGCGAUCCGAGUUCAAGUCUCGGUAGAACCU